Molecule: ribosomal RNA, 284 nt
Filed under: Ehrlichia canis
Lineage: Bacteria; Pseudomonadati; Pseudomonadota; Alphaproteobacteria; Rickettsiales; Anaplasmataceae
Description: partial 16S ribosomal RNA
Rfam family: Bacterial small subunit ribosomal RNA
Source: RNAcentral
CAGACGGGUGAGUAAUGCGUAGGAAUCUACCUAGUAGUACGGAAUAGCCAUUAGAAAUGGUGGGUAAUACUGUAUAAUCCCCGAGGGGGAAAGAUUUAUCGCUAUUAGAUGAGCCUACGUUAGAUUAGCUAGUUGGUGAGGUAAUGGCUUACCAAGGCUAUGAUCUAUAGCUGGUCUGAGAGGACGAUCAGCCACACUGGAACUGAGAUACGGUCCAGACUCCUACGGGAGGCAGCAGUGGGGAAUAUUGGACAAUGGGCGAAAGCCUGAUCCAGCUAUGCCGC